RNAcentral lists this ribosomal RNA (468 nucleotides) under uncultured bacterium. RNAcentral describes it as "partial 16S ribosomal RNA". It matches the Rfam family "Bacterial small subunit ribosomal RNA", at positions 28 to 507 of the family's 1533-position model. The record is from RNAcentral.
GACGAACGCUGGCGGCGUGCUUAACACAUGCAAGUCGAACGGACAGGCGCGGCUUUUGUGGCGUGCUCGUGAGGCGCGCGGGUGAGUAACACGUGUGUAACCUGCCCUUAACUUUCUGAUAUAUUUACGAAACUGGGGCUAUAAUCGCAUAGGAGCUCCUGCUCCAUGGGGGGGGUUGGAAAAUGUCGGCGGUGUUGGAUGGACUAGAGGUUUCUGCGCUUGUUGGUGGGGGAGUGGCUGACCACGGUUGUGACGGGUAGGCGGCCGUGGAGGUGGACCGGCCACCAUGGGACUGAGAUACGGCCCAGAAGCCUACGGGAGGCAGCAGUGGGGAAUAUUGCACAAUGGGGGGAAGCCUGAUGCAGCAACGCCGCGGGCGGGAUGACGGCCUUCGGGGGGUAAACCGCUGUCUCCUUUGACGAAGCGUGAGUGACGGUAACUGAUAAAGAAGCACCGGCUAACUACGUG